This 498-nucleotide ribosomal RNA is filed under the name uncultured bacterium. RNAcentral describes it as "partial 16S ribosomal RNA". It matches the Rfam family "Bacterial small subunit ribosomal RNA", at positions 28 to 508 of the family's 1533-position model. The record is from RNAcentral.
GAUGAACGCUGGCGGCGUGCCUAAUACAUGCAAGUCGAGCGAACAGACGAGGAGCUUGCUCCUCUGACGUUAGCGGCGGACGGGUGAGUAACACGUGGAUAACCUACCUAUAAGACUGGGAUAACUUCGGGAAACCGGAGCUAAUACCGGAUAAUAUAUUGAACCGCAUGGUUCAAUAGUGAAAGACGGUUUUGCUGUCACUUAUAGAUGGAUCCGCGCCGCAUUAGCUAGUUGGUAAGGUAACGGCUUACCAAGGCAACGAUGCGUAGCCGACCUGAGAGGGUGAUCGGCCACACUGGAACUGAGACAAGGUCCAGACUCCUACGGGAGGCAGCAGUAGGGAAUCUUCCGAAAUGGGCGAAAGCUUGACGGAGCAACGCCGCGUGAGUGAUGAAGGUCUUCGGAUCGUAAAACUCUGUUAUUAGGGAAGAACAAAUGUGUAAGUAACUAUGCACGUCUUGACGGUACCUAAUCAGAAAGCCACGGCUAACUACGUGC